RNAcentral lists this ribosomal RNA (482 nucleotides) under uncultured bacterium. Its description in RNAcentral is "bacterial SSU rRNA". It matches the Rfam family "Bacterial small subunit ribosomal RNA", at positions 30 to 506 of the family's 1533-position model. The record is from RNAcentral.
UUGAACGCUGGCGGCAUGCCUUACACAUGCAAGUCGAACGGCAGCACGGGAGCAAUCCUGGUGGCGAGUGGCGAACGGGUGAGUAAUGUAUCGGAACGUACCUUACAGUGGGGGAUAACGUAGCGAAAGUUACGCUAAUACCGCAUAUUCUCUGAGGAGGAAAGCAGGGGACCUUAGGGCCUUGCGCUGUUAGAGCGGCCGAUAUCAGAUUAGCUAGUUGGUGGGGUAAAAGCUCACCAAGGCGACGAUCUGUAGCGGGUCUGAGAGGAUGAUCCGCCACACUGGAACUGAGACACGGUCCAGACUCCUACGGGAGGCAGCAGUGGGGAAUUUUGGACAAUGGGCGCAAGCCUGAUCCAGCCAGGCCGCGUGAGUGAAGAAGGCCUUCGGGUUGUAAAGCUCUUUCGGCCGGGAAGAAAUCGCAUUGGUUAAUACCUGGUGUGGAUGACGGUACCGGAAUAAGAAGCACCGGCUAACUACGU